GAGUUCUGGUUCAGGAUGAACGCUAGCGACAGGCUUAACACAUGCAAGUCGAGGGCAGCAUAAAAGUAGCAAUACUUGGUGGCGACCGGCGCACGGGUGAGUAACGCGUAUGCAACCUACCUAUCAGAGGGGAAUAACCCGGCGAAAGUCGGACUAAUACCGCAUAAAACAGGGGCACCGCAUGGUGAUAUUUGUUAAAGAAAUUCGCUGAUAGAUGGGCAUGCGUUCCAUUAGGUAGUUGGUGAGGUAACGGCUCACCAAGCCGACGAUGGAUAGGGGAACUGAGAGGUUGGUCCCCCACACUGGUACUGAGACACGGACCAGACUCCUACGGGAGGCAGCAGUGAGGAAUAUUGGUCAAUGGGCGGGAGCCUGAACCAGCCAAGUCGCGUGAAGGAAGAAGGAUCUAUGGUUCGUAAACUUCUUUUGCAGGGGAAUAAAGUGCAGGACGUGUCCUGUUUUGUAUGUACCCUGAGAAUAAGGAUCGGCUAACUCCGUGCCAGCCGCCGC
Molecule: ribosomal RNA, 510 nt
Filed under: uncultured bacterium
Lineage: Bacteria
Description: bacterial SSU rRNA
Rfam family: Bacterial small subunit ribosomal RNA
Source: RNAcentral